Perognathus longimembris pacificus (Pacific pocket mouse) is the source of this 126-nucleotide non-coding RNA. RefSeq annotates it as small Cajal body-specific RNA 4. NCBI's taxonomy places the organism in Eukaryota, Metazoa, Chordata, Mammalia, Rodentia, Heteromyidae. The transcript has a single exon. The record is from RefSeq and is a predicted model, not a curated record.
ACUGGACAACCAAGAAGGCUAAGUCUGAUGAAAUAAGACUUGACUGAUACAGUCCUCCUAGAAGAAAUGGGGUUAGAGAGAAAAGAUUUUAUUGGAGAAAAUUACAGGGCUGACUACACAACAUUC